Erinaceus europaeus (western European hedgehog) is the source of this 438-nucleotide long non-coding RNA. RefSeq lists it as uncharacterized. The record is from RefSeq and is a predicted model, not a curated record. The transcript is spliced from 3 exons. NCBI's taxonomy places the organism in Eukaryota, Metazoa, Chordata, Mammalia, Eulipotyphla, Erinaceidae.
CGGAAGGAGGCUCCGGUCAGGGGUCCCGGUUUGGGGUGCUGAGCCCGUGGAUGGUGAGUCCGCUGGUGCUGGGUCCGUGGGGCACUGACUCCGGGGGUGCUGGGUCCUGGGUUCCGGAAGUCCUAGGUACCGACUGCGAGGACUGCUGAGUCCUGGGUGCUGGGUCUGGGGAGGCUGGAUCCUGGGUGCUGGGUCCUGACUCCGGGGGGUGCUGGGUCCUGGGUGCUGACUAUGAGGACUGCUGAGUUCUGGGUGCUGGGUCCUGACUCCGGGGUUACCGAGUCCUGGGUGCUGAGUCUGAGGGGUGCUGAGUCCGGGGUACCGAGUUCUGGGCGCUGGGUCUGAGGUACCGAGUCCUGGGUACUGAGUCCCGGGUGCCGGGUCCGAGGUACCGAGUCCCGGGUACUGAGUCCUGGGUACUGAGUCCCGGGUACCGAG